Molecule: non-coding RNA, 148 nt
Filed under: Nomascus leucogenys (northern white-cheeked gibbon)
Lineage: Eukaryota; Metazoa; Chordata; Mammalia; Primates; Hylobatidae
Source: Rfam by way of RNAcentral
GCUGGGCAUGGUGGUGCUUGCCUGUAAUCUCAGCUACUUGGGAGGCUGAGGCAGGAGAAUCACUUGAACCCAGGAGGUGGAGAUUGCAGUGAGCUGAGAUCACGCCACUGCACUCCAGCCUGGGCAACAGAGCGAGAUUCUGUCUCAA